CAGUCGCCGCGGUAAUACGAAGGGUGCAAGCGUUACUCGGAAUUACUGGGCGUAAAGCGUGCGUAGGUGGUGGUUUAAGUCCGUUGUGAAAGCCCUGGGCUCAACCUGGGAAUUGCAGUGGAUACUGGGUCACUAGAGUGUGGUAGAGGAUAGUGGAAUUUCCGGUGUAGCAGUGAAAUGCGUAGAGAUCGGAAGGAACAUCUGUGGCGAAGGCGACUAUCUGGGCCAACACUGACACUGAGGCACGAAAGCGUGGGGAGCAAACAGGAUUAGAUACCCGCGUAGUCCAUGUCUCUUAUAC
This 301-nucleotide ribosomal RNA is filed under the name uncultured bacterium. RNAcentral describes it as "partial 16S ribosomal RNA". It matches the Rfam family "Bacterial small subunit ribosomal RNA", at positions 509 to 807 of the family's 1533-position model. The record is from RNAcentral.